UACAGAGGGGGCAAGCGUUGUUCGGAAUUACUGGGCGUAAAGGGCGCGUAGGUGGCCUUCUAAGUUGAACGUGAAAUCCCUGGGCUCAACCCAGGAACUGCGUCCAAGACUGGGAGGCUUGAAUCCGGGAGAGGGAUGCGGAAUUCCAGGUGUAGCGGUGAAAUGCGUAGAUAUCUGGAGGAACACCGGUGGCGAAGGCGGCGACCUGGGUAGAUACUGACGCUGAGGUGCGAAAGCGUGGGGAGCAAACAGG
Molecule: ribosomal RNA, 253 nt
Filed under: uncultured bacterium
Lineage: Bacteria
Description: partial 16S ribosomal RNA
Rfam family: Bacterial small subunit ribosomal RNA
Source: RNAcentral